This 252-nucleotide ribosomal RNA is filed under the name uncultured bacterium. Its description in RNAcentral is "partial 16S ribosomal RNA". It matches the Rfam family "Bacterial small subunit ribosomal RNA", at positions 524 to 776 of the family's 1533-position model. The record is from RNAcentral.
UACGGGGGGGCAAGCGUUGUUCGGAAUUCCUGGGCGUAAAGGGCUCGUAGGUGGCCAACUAAGUCAGACGUGAAAUCCCCAGGCUUAACCUGGGAACUGCGUCUGAUACUGGAUGGCUUGAAUUCGGGAGAGGGAUGCAGAAUUCCAGGUGUAGCGGUGAAAUGCGUAGAUAUCUGGAGGAAUACCGGUGGCGAAGGCGGCAUCCUGGACCGAGAUUGACACUGAUGAGCGAAAGCUAGGGGAGCAAACGGG